RNAcentral lists this transfer RNA (87 nucleotides) under Candidatus Saccharimonadota bacterium. RNAcentral's name for it is "tRNA-Leu". It matches the Rfam family "tRNA". From Rfam's summary of the family: Transfer RNA (tRNA) molecules are approximately 80 nucleotides in length. Their secondary structure includes four short double-helical elements and three loops (D, anti-codon, and T loops). Further hydrogen bonds mediate the characteristic L-shaped molecular structure. tRNAs have two regions of fundamental functional importance: the anti-codon, which is responsible for specific mRNA codon recognition, and the 3' end, to which the tRNAs corresponding amino acid is attached (by aminoacyl-tRNA synthetases). tRNAs cope with the degeneracy of the genetic code in two manners: having more than one tRNA (with a specific anti-codon) for a particular amino acid; and 'wobble' base-pairing, i.e. permitting non-standard base-pairing at the 3rd anti-codon position. Lineage: Bacteria; Candidatus Saccharimonadota. RNAcentral also lists the same sequence under 1 other name. The record is from RNAcentral.
GGGCGAGUGGCGGAAUUGGUAUACGCGGCAGACUUAAAAUCUGCUUCCUUUACCGGAUUAUGGGUUCGAGUCCCAUCUCGCCCACCA